UUCGAAGAACCUUUUGCCCCGUGAAGAGUAAAACUUCAUUUUAACUCCAGUGGAACUCUGUCUACCUUUUUUAAACAGGCACCAUGGCUGGAUUCAUGACACGGAUCGGCAUCUAUCUGAGUCUGCUUUGUCUAACAAUAAGCCCUGUUCUUUCCUAUAAUGACGACAAAACGAUCUACAAGUGGAGCCCCCUAUAUUUCCGCAAUCUGAAGAAGAAUCUUUGGAAUUUUCCCUGUGCAACAGAAAACACAGUAUGUGGGUUCGAAAGAGUUUCAUACCGUGUGGUUGUUCGACUACCUUGUUGUGGUGCGUUAGUAUGUCAGAGAAUCGGAAUUCGCCACUUCUGCCUCAAGCCGUGGAGUUGGGAGGAAACCAGCGACGUUUAUUGAGGGAUGUUUGAUUGCUACGGAAACGAAACUGUUUCAUCGAAUCGUUCGGAUAUUUUCCUGAUUUGUAUGUUGCCCAGUAUUUAUUACUAAUUUUUUUGUUGUUAAUUUUGCAACGAUGUAUUAAAAUCGAAGUAAACUUUAUGAGUCUUUUUGUUAUUUGUUCAGUUUAAUGGUAAUUACAAGUAUGCGAUGUUUUUGUUGACUCCUUUGAGGUUCUGAGAAAACAAAGAUUGUUUUUUACAUUCUAUUCCAGAGUGAACGAAACACGGAAACAAAA
Limulus polyphemus (Atlantic horseshoe crab) is the source of this 666-nucleotide long non-coding RNA. RefSeq lists it as uncharacterized. The transcript has 4 exons. The record is from RefSeq and is a predicted model, not a curated record. Lineage: Eukaryota; Metazoa; Arthropoda; Merostomata; Xiphosura; Limulidae.